CACUAAGAAGCUAAACCGGGUUAUAGCAUUAGCCUUUUAAGCUAAAAAUUGGUGUCCCCCAAUCACCCUUAGUGA
This 75-nucleotide transfer RNA is filed under the name Scomberomorus munroi (Australian spotted mackerel). RNAcentral describes it as "tRNA-Lys". It matches the Rfam family "tRNA". From Rfam's summary of the family: Transfer RNA (tRNA) molecules are approximately 80 nucleotides in length. Their secondary structure includes four short double-helical elements and three loops (D, anti-codon, and T loops). RNAcentral also lists the same sequence under 1 other name. Lineage: Eukaryota; Metazoa; Chordata; Actinopteri; Scombriformes; Scombridae. The record is from RNAcentral.